RNAcentral lists this microRNA (20 nucleotides) under Suid alphaherpesvirus 1. Its description in RNAcentral is "prv-miR-LLT12". Its record names the gene prv-miR-LLT12. Lineage: Duplodnaviria; Heunggongvirae; Peploviricota; Herviviricetes; Herpesvirales; Orthoherpesviridae. The record is from miRBase by way of RNAcentral.
UCAAACUUCCUCGUGUCCCC